RNAcentral lists this ribosomal RNA (775 nucleotides) under uncultured Neocallimastigales. RNAcentral describes it as "partial large subunit ribosomal RNA". It matches the Rfam family "Eukaryotic large subunit ribosomal RNA", at positions 23 to 616 of the family's 3401-position model. The record is from RNAcentral. Lineage: Eukaryota; Fungi; Neocallimastigomycota; Neocallimastigomycetes; Neocallimastigales.
AGAGAGAGACAUGCGCGCAUAUCAAUAAGCGGAGGAAAAGAAACUAACUAGGAUUCCCCUAGUAACGGCGAGUGAAGCGGGAAGAGCUCAAAUUUGAAAUCUUAAAGGUUCUACCUUGACGAAUUGUAGUUUAAAGAAGUGUUUUCUGUUGGAGUUUUGGUAAAAGUUCUUUGGAAUAGGACAUCAUAGAGGGUGAGAAUCCCGUAUUUGACCAUUAUUUCCAGCUUUGUGAUACACUUUCAAGGAGUCGGAUUGUUUGGGAAUGCAGUCCAAAAUGGGUGGUAAAUUUCAUCUAAAGCUAAAUAUUGGCGAGAGACCGAUAGCGAACAAGUACCGUGAGGGAAAGAUGAAAAGAACUUUGAAAAGAGAGUUAAACAGUACGUGAAAUUGUCAAAAGGGAAGCGUUUGACACCAGUGUUGUUUUUCUGAAAAUCAAUUAAAGAACUGUUUAUGCUAAGCUGUUUAGACUUUAUCAGCUAAUCUGUUUAGUUUUGAGCUUUUCUUUAAUGCACUUUUCAGUUAACAAGUCAACAUCAAUUUCUUUUGCUGUAAAAAAGCUUGAGGAAGGUGGCUUGAGAUUCGUCUUAAGUGUUUAUAGCCUCUUGCCUAUGCAGUCGGAGAGAUUGAGGUCUGCAGCGUAGAUCCUUCGGGGCUAAAUGCAUUUGUGCUAAGUUAUAGCAUUUUAUAGACAACUUGUUGACUAUGAUUUGUCUUGUAGCUUACUCGCUUAUGUUAUUUUACCUACGCUUAGGAUGUUGAGCGCAUGUCUCUCUCU